CCGCCUCUCCACACGGCCAUGGCGGCUCGGGCGGCACAAAGGGAGAGAGGAGAGAAGGGGCUCCCUUUGCAAAGCCACAGGAAGGAGCCAGUCUCAGUGCCCCUCCAGGUUGUGUAAUGGAGUACAGGAGGAACCUUGGAGCAGCAGGCUGGAACAGCAGAGACCUGCGGUGUUCCUGAGAGCUCCAGGCUCUCUCAGGUAGGAGGAUAACACCUGGACUUUCAGAUGGAGCAUCAGUGAACUUGGAAGUGCUAGAUUUACAACUGGAUUCAAUAUUCUUAAGGACUUUCUCCAACCUAAUGAUUCUGUGAUUUUACAGCCAAUUUGCUUCAGUGUCAUUUUAGCCCACUCAUGGCAGCACAAGAGUCUGUGGGUUUCUUCCACUCACAGCUACCUGUCAAGCUGGCCUUUUUGUAACCCUCCAGCAGUGAGUUCUCAAGCCAACAUCCUUUCUGUUUGACAGCAGAAGUGUUGAAGAGGGCUGCUUUCUGGUGACAAAAUUAUAUAGUAGCUCAAAUAACCAUAAAAGAGGAACCUCUCCACAGAUGACACUGGUAUCCAGGGUGUGUCUGAUGCUGCAUGAAUGUGGGCUUCCAGUGUGGCAAGGGUCAUGAGAACUUCUUGUUAUCUUUUUUUUUUUUUGUUCAGUCUUUUCAAACUAGCUAUUUUACUAAGCUGCUUGUUGUUAGACUUUCUUGCUAAGACCUUGCUUAAAAGGAGCCCUGUGGCAUCUCUCUCCUACCUCACCCCCAGUGCAGAAGACCAGGUCAGAGGAGUUUGAAGUCAUGACGCUGAAAUUGUAGGUGCUGUGGGGUUAAACCUGGGGUACAACUGGCCUUCAACAAAAAAAAAAAGAUAGAGCCUAUAGAUGACAUUUCGGGCCAGAGAACUGUUUCCAAGCACCUACACCUGAUAUGUCCCCCUCCCUGUGCUGUGGCUCCCUUGGGAAUGAAAUGCCAGACAGUUGAUGGGCAAGGAGUCAUGGCACACCCGAAUCGUAUACAGUGACUCCAGUUGCUCUGAUGACAGGCAAGGCAGAAUUCAUCCACUACCCUCUGCAGACAAACAGCUGUGACUGCUGUGGGGUCACAGCAGUUGGUGAUUGUUUCCUGUUAGCUGAGAGCCUGUGGCUUUUAAGGAGAUAAUAUUAAAAAAUUCAAAAAUGUAGUUUUUCUUGCUUGAUCUGAAAUUUUAAGGAUCUAUAUAUAAAUCUCUAGUGAUAAAACCUGUGUUAUGUUGACAAAGCUUCACAGAGUGAAGGUUGAAGUGUUAGAAGUGGGUAUGCUGUGAACUUUAUCAAUCAUAAGAAUAAAUAAUUUUUAAAUAUCCAAUAAAGAGUUGAUCUUAGCUUCUUGGUAGGUUUUUCUACAUGUGUUCAUGACAUGCAUACAGCAAUUCUUGUAUUUCCAACUAUCAAUAAAAUGAAAAUUUGUGCAGAA
Molecule: long non-coding RNA, 1439 nt
Organism: Haemorhous mexicanus (house finch)
Lineage: Eukaryota; Metazoa; Chordata; Aves; Passeriformes; Fringillidae
Exons: 3
Source: RefSeq, a predicted model, not a curated record